CGUACGCGCUAUAAAAGGCACGCCGCGCGUGCGCGCGUCCUUUCCGGGCGGUGGCGGCGUCUCCGGGUGGUGCGCGCGGCCUGGUUCCCGGAGCCCAGGGCGCCCGCCUCCCCGCCGGGGCCUCGCCAGCCGUGACCCGAGCUGCGGCCGUGCGCCCCUGGUGCCGGGCCGGCCGCGGGAGGGACGGCGGGUCCCGGGCCAGGCGGCGGGCGGGUCCGGACCUUGCUGAGCGCCCGCCGCCCUCCCUCGCGGGUUGAGACCCGGAGGAAGUGGCCUCCCGCCUCUGGCCACGCGUUGUUUUUGCUUUAAAAAGCGGGGAGUUUGCUAGAGACCGAGCACCUGGGAGGGCGUCCUGGGGUCUCAGCUCUUGGGUGGCCUCGGAUGGUGAGGAUGGUGAGGCGGUCCGGCCUUUGACAGCAGGAGGUAGGAGUGGGUCGCUGACAAGCAGGGAUGAGCAGAAGAGGAAGGAAGGGGACUGCCAGCCUGUGAACGUGGGCCAGAAUAACACCGUCACCGUCCAGACCGAGGUGGAGAGGAGACGCUGGCCCCAGCAGGUGGAGAGCCCAGCCAGGCGAGAUCCAGGCCGUCCGCUCAGGGCGAGACACUCCCUGAUACAAAGCCGAGAAGUAGCAAGGUAUUUUGCAUUGCUUUCUGAAACGCUUGUGCAGAGUGUUGGCCUGUUGGAAAGCAGUCCUGUGGCAUGGGUCUGCGGGGCGAGGCGGGGAGUGUUGAACUGUUCAUUGGGCCCCCUCUGACUCCAAAAAACCCAAGAAAAGUAGACGCGAUUGAGAGCACAGACAAGGGGUCAAGAUACGUCGGGGGGCCAGGGCCUCCACUUUUGAUGCAGCGAUUGUUGGCAGAGCAGCCUCGCCUCUGCUUUCAGAGGAGCCCCCGCUAGGAGGCCGCCCCGCGCGGGUGUCUCGGGUCCUCAUUCUUCCUCCCCGGCCGCUGCGUCCCGCGGGGAGCAGAGGUUUCGAACUGCCCAGAGUCGGUGAUUCUAAACUGCUGCUUGUGCCGCGUGUGGACUAUUUCCCCUGCACACAAGGGAGGAAAAUGCAGACAGGAGAGGUGAUUUCAACGUAAGGUGGAACGGGUGUUGAGAACUAACGCUGAAGACACGGGAGGACGGCUGGAGUUGGGAACAGGUUUAGGCAAACGGUGGUGAAGUAAGCUGAAGGAUUGAGUGCUUUUAUUUUUCAAUAAAACUGUUUCUUUGUUGGCA
RNAcentral lists this long non-coding RNA (1222 nucleotides) under Felis catus (domestic cat). RNAcentral's name for it is "lncRNA (ENSFCAG00000051609.1)". Lineage: Eukaryota; Metazoa; Chordata; Mammalia; Carnivora; Felidae. The record is from RNAcentral.